RNAcentral lists this transfer RNA (76 nucleotides) under Candidatus Amesbacteria bacterium RIFCSPHIGHO2_01_FULL_48_32. RNAcentral describes it as "tRNA-Phe". It matches the Rfam family "tRNA". From Rfam's summary of the family: Transfer RNA (tRNA) molecules are approximately 80 nucleotides in length. Their secondary structure includes four short double-helical elements and three loops (D, anti-codon, and T loops). Further hydrogen bonds mediate the characteristic L-shaped molecular structure. tRNAs have two regions of fundamental functional importance: the anti-codon, which is responsible for specific mRNA codon recognition, and the 3' end, to which the tRNAs corresponding amino acid is attached (by aminoacyl-tRNA synthetases). tRNAs cope with the degeneracy of the genetic code in two manners: having more than one tRNA (with a specific anti-codon) for a particular amino acid; and 'wobble' base-pairing, i.e. permitting non-standard base-pairing at the 3rd anti-codon position. RNAcentral also lists the same sequence under 1 other name. Lineage: Bacteria; Candidatus Amesiibacteriota. The record is from RNAcentral.
GCAGCGGUAGCCAAGGUGGUCAAGGCACCUGUCUGAAGAACAGGCCAUGCAGGUUCGACUCCUGCCUGCUGCACAA